Molecule: transfer RNA, 83 nt
Filed under: Prevotella sp.
Lineage: Bacteria; Pseudomonadati; Bacteroidota; Bacteroidia; Bacteroidales; Prevotellaceae
Description: tRNA-Leu
Rfam family: tRNA
About the family: Transfer RNA (tRNA) molecules are approximately 80 nucleotides in length. Their secondary structure includes four short double-helical elements and three loops (D, anti-codon, and T loops). Further hydrogen bonds mediate the characteristic L-shaped molecular structure. tRNAs have two regions of fundamental functional importance: the anti-codon, which is responsible for specific mRNA codon recognition, and the 3' end, to which the tRNAs corresponding amino acid is attached (by aminoacyl-tRNA synthetases). tRNAs cope with the degeneracy of the genetic code in two manners: having more than one tRNA (with a specific anti-codon) for a particular amino acid; and 'wobble' base-pairing, i.e. permitting non-standard base-pairing at the 3rd anti-codon position.
Source: RNAcentral
GUGUCUGUGGUGGAACUGGCAUACACGUAGCCUUGAGGUGGCUAUGCUUCGGCUUGGAGGUUCAAAUCCUCUCAGACACACCA